This 78-nucleotide transfer RNA is filed under the name Chitinophagaceae bacterium. RNAcentral describes it as "tRNA-Val". It matches the Rfam family "tRNA". From Rfam's summary of the family: Transfer RNA (tRNA) molecules are approximately 80 nucleotides in length. Their secondary structure includes four short double-helical elements and three loops (D, anti-codon, and T loops). Further hydrogen bonds mediate the characteristic L-shaped molecular structure. tRNAs have two regions of fundamental functional importance: the anti-codon, which is responsible for specific mRNA codon recognition, and the 3' end, to which the tRNAs corresponding amino acid is attached (by aminoacyl-tRNA synthetases). tRNAs cope with the degeneracy of the genetic code in two manners: having more than one tRNA (with a specific anti-codon) for a particular amino acid; and 'wobble' base-pairing, i.e. permitting non-standard base-pairing at the 3rd anti-codon position. The record is from RNAcentral. Lineage: Bacteria; Pseudomonadati; Bacteroidota; Chitinophagia; Chitinophagales; Chitinophagaceae.
GGGAGUUUAGCUCAGUUGGUUUAGAGCAUCUGCCUUACAAGCAGAGGGUCGCGGGUUCGAAUCCCCCAACUCCCACUA